CACUUACAGAUGGGCCCGCGGCGCAUUAGCUAGUUGGUGAGGUAACGGCUCACCAAGGCAACGAUGCGUAGCCGACCUGAGAGGGUGAUCGGCCACACUGGGACUGAGACACGGCCCAGACUCCUACGGGAGGCAGCAGUAGGGAAUCUUCCGCAAUGGACGAAAGUCUGACGGAGCAACGCCGCGUGAGCGAUGAAGGCCUUCGGGUCGUAAAGCUCUGUUGUUAGGGAAGAACAAGUAUCGGAGUAACUGCCGGUACCUUGACGGUACCUAACCAGAAAGCCACGGCUAACUACGUGCCAGCAGCCGCGGUAAUACGUAGGUGGCAAGCGUUGUCCGGAAUUAUUGGGCGUAAAGCGCGCGCAGGUGGUUCCUUAAGUCUGAUGUGAAAGCCCACGGCUCAACCGUGGAGGGUCAUUGGAAACUGGGGAACUUGAGUGCAGAAGAGGAAAGUGGAAUUCCACGUGUAGCGGUGAAAUGCGUAGAGAUGUGGAGGAACACCAGUGGCGAAGGCGACUUUCUGGUCUGUAACUGACACUGAGCGCGAAAGCGUGGGGAGCGAACAGGAUUAGAUACCCUGGUAGUCCACGCCGUAACGAUGAGUGCUAAGUGUUAGAGGGUUUCCGCCCUUUAGUGCUGCAGCAAACGCAUUAGCACUCCGCCUGGGGAGUACGCCGCAAGGCUGAACUCAAAGGAAUUG
RNAcentral lists this ribosomal RNA (700 nucleotides) under Bacillus sp. ARRCAS002. RNAcentral describes it as "bacterial SSU rRNA". It matches the Rfam family "Bacterial small subunit ribosomal RNA", at positions 216 to 912 of the family's 1533-position model. The record is from RNAcentral. Lineage: Bacteria; Bacillati; Bacillota; Bacilli; Caryophanales; Bacillaceae.